AUUGAACGCUGGCGGCAGGCCUAACACAUGCAAGUCGAACGGUAACAGGAAGCAGCUUGCUGCUUUGCUGACGAGUGGCGGACGGGUGAGUAAUGUCUGGGAAACUGCCUGAUGGAGGGGGAUAACUACUGGAAACGGUAGCUAAUACCGCAUAACGUCGCAAGACCAAAGAGGGGGACCUUCGGGCCUCUUGCCAUCGGAUGUGCCCAGAUGGGAUUAGCUAGUAGGUGGGGUAACGGCUCACCUAGGCGACGAUCCCUAGCUGGUCUGAGAGGAUGACCAGCCACACUGGAACUGAGACACGGUCCAGACUCCUACGGGAGGCAGCAGUGGGGAAUAUUGCACGAUGGGCGCAAGCCUGAUGCAGCCAUGCCGCGUGUAUGUAGAAGGCCUUCGGGUUGUAAAGUACUUUCAGCGGGGAGGAAGGGAGUAAAGUUAAUACCUUUGCUCAUUGACGUUACCCGCAGAAGAAGCACCGGCUAACUCCGUG
Molecule: ribosomal RNA, 490 nt
Filed under: uncultured bacterium
Lineage: Bacteria
Description: partial 16S ribosomal RNA
Rfam family: Bacterial small subunit ribosomal RNA
Source: RNAcentral